GUAAAACUUUUCUGUAAAUUUACAGCGAAUUUCUAACAGUAUUGUACUGUAUUUUCAAAAAACAGUGUUAGACUGUAUAUUUACAAAAUAUUUACAGAAUGUCUGUAAAUGUACAGAAUUGUCCUGUUUUCAGCUUGCAAAAUUCGUAAUACAGAAUAAUACUGUAAAAGCAUUGCAUUAUGGGAUUGAUUUCCUUCGCGCUCAAUAUUUGAAUGUAAGCAGAGCUAGUGCUUCGGAAGUUCGGACGCCCUUUAUUUGUUAGGAUUGGUUAUUCAUAUAAACGACGGUAUAUGAAGACAACGCGUUCAACUUUUAAUCUAUAGCUGCCUGUGAUGUGAAAACGUACACGGAACAUUUAAAAGUUACACAACGACGCGGCAGAAAUGAGAGGAUUAUGCAGCAAGAAGACGGGGAGAAUACAAUGUGUCUGUGGUGAAGAUAAACGAAGAUUGACUGACUGUGCAUCAUUGACACGGUUCGUCUCAAAGCAACCAGCGCUGGAUGUUGAGCAUGGACGGUCAGGUUGUGUGUGAAGGAGAGCAGCGCAACUUUGUCUCUGGUCUUGCAACGCUCAGAUUUGCCUCAUUCUACAAUUUUAACCUCCCGGAUCUGGAAGCGGUGGCAUACACCCUUGGGUUUGAUCAGAGAUGAUUUCUCUACAUCAACCUGGAACGUGGAUCAAAGAUGAAGAAAGGGAAAAAGAACACUACAGUGAAUCCACAGGUUUCCACUCUUCUUAGAAAACUUACAUACUUUAAAUGCAAUUUUGUUUAGACACUUCCACUAUCCAGUGUAGUUGAAUUAAAAGGAAAUAAAGUUUCCUACAUUGUUAAUGAUGUGCUGUUAAUUGAAAUACAAACGUACAGCUGGCAUUUCAUCCAAUAUGCUUAUGUUAAAGAAUUAAUUCACUUUUAAAAUGAUGCAAAAAAAAGAAAGUCAUGAGGGAAAAUACAGUAAAGGAUUAGUCCACUUUCUUAAAGGAAUAGUCCACUUUAAAGAUGGGGUACAUUGACUUUUCAUAGUAGGAAAAAAAGUAAGUAAAUGGGCCCCAUCUUUAAAGUGGACUACUCCUUUAAUAAAAAAAUCCUGAUAAUUUACUUACCCCUAAGUCAUCCAAAACGUUUAUGUGUUUCUUUGUUCAGUCAAGAAGAAAUUAUUUGUUUUGUUUUUGUUUUUUUGAGUAACACAUUCCAGAAUGUUUCUCCAUAUAGUGGACUUUAAUGGACCUCAACAGUUUACAGUUUAAAUGCAGUUUAAAAGGGUGCAUACAACUUCAAAGGCUCUAAACUAGGGCUGCAUGAUAAAUCGCAUGUGAUUGUCAUUGCGCAUCUUGUCAGUAAAGCCGGUUCCUUGAUUAGUAGUAAAUCGCCAUUACCUGCUUUCAGAUGGAGCAGCAUGUACUACACAAAGCCAUAGAUCACUGACAAUCAUGGCAAAAUUUGCAUUAAUAUUAUGUAUGCGAUAUGGCCCAGCUUGUCAGUGAACUACGUCUCUGUCUAGUAAAAGCUGCUCCAUCUGAAAGCAGGUGAUGAGAUGCGCAUGACUAUCGCAUGUUAUUUAUCGUGCAGCCCUACUCUAAACUAUCCAAACUGAUGCAUAAGGGUCUUAACCAGCAAAAAUCAUAACUUUCGGCAAGAAAAAAAAUAUGCACUUUUAAUCCACAACUUCUCAUCUUGCACUAGCCGUGUGAUGCGCCAACUUGACGUCAUGUAAUGCAUAGGCAUGUCGAAAGGUCACGCAUCACAAAUGUGAAACACACACUUGCAGACCAUUUUAAACAACAAACUGACAUAAAGACAUUAAUUGUUAUCAUUCCACAUACAACAACGUCUGAACGUUCCUCUUUCUCCACGCUUGUAAACACUGGGGCGGUAGUUUUGCAUGCAUCACAUGUGACCUUUCAACAUGCUUAAGCAUUACGUUAGAUUGCGCUGGUGGGACACAAGGCUAGUGCAAGAUGAGAAGUUAUGGAUUUAUAGUACUUAUUUUUUAUUUUUCUUAAUAAAAAUGAUGAUGGUUUGCUAGAUAAGAUCCUUAUGCCUUGGUUGGGAUCGUUUAGAGCCCUUUAAAGCUGCAUCAAAACAGCAAAUUUUAAACUGCAUUUAAUCUGUAAACUAUUGAGGUCCAAUAAAGUCUUUAAAAUUGAGAAAAAGCAUGGAGUGUUUUCCCUAAAAAACUUAAUUUCUUAUUGACUGAACAAAAAAAGACAUCAACAUUUUGGAUGACAUGUGGGUGAGUAAAUUAUCCAGAUUUUUUAUUAAGAAAGUAGAGUAAUCCUUUAAUGUAUUUUCCCUCCUGACUGUCUUUUUUUGCAUCAUUUAAAAUAUUUUGAAACAUUUCCAUUCUUUGAAAGUUAAUAAGAUCACUUGAUUGUUAAUGUUCUGAUCAUUCAUAACUGUUCUGUAAACUGUUUAUUAAUUGUAAUGCAUACAGCUGACAUUUCAGCAAACAUGUUUAUGUAAAUUUU
This is a long non-coding RNA of Paramisgurnus dabryanus, 2467 nucleotides long. RefSeq lists it as uncharacterized. The record is from RefSeq and is a predicted model, not a curated record. NCBI's taxonomy places the organism in Eukaryota, Metazoa, Chordata, Actinopteri, Cypriniformes, Cobitidae.